GACGAACGCUGGCGGCGUGCCUAAUACAUGCAAGUAGAACGCACAGUUUAUACCGUAGCUUGCUCCACCAUAAACUGUGAGUUGCGAACGGGUGAGUAACGCGUAGGUAACCUGCCUGGUAGCGGGGGAUAACUAUUGGAAACGAUAGCUAAUACCGCAUCAUAUUGAUUAUUGCAUGAUAAUUGAUUGAAAGAUGCUAUUGCAUCACUACCAGAUGGACCUGCGUUGUAUUAGCUAGUAGGUGAGGUAACGGCUCACCUAGGCGACGAUACAUAGCCGACCUGAGAGGGUGAUCGGCCACACUGGGACUGAGACACGGCCCAGACUCCUACGGGAGGCAGCAGUAGGGAAUCUUCGGCAAUGGACGAAAGUCUGACCGAGCAACGCCGCGUGAGUGAAGAAGGGUUUCGGAUCGUAAAGCUCUGUUGUAAGAGAAGAACGGGUGUGAGAGUGGAAAGUUCACACUGUGACGGUAUCUGACCAGAAAGGGACGGCUAACUACGUG
Molecule: ribosomal RNA, 505 nt
Filed under: uncultured bacterium
Lineage: Bacteria
Description: partial 16S ribosomal RNA
Rfam family: Bacterial small subunit ribosomal RNA
Source: RNAcentral